This is a non-coding RNA of Camellia sinensis, 596 nucleotides long. The record is from RefSeq and is a predicted model, not a curated record. Lineage: Eukaryota; Viridiplantae; Streptophyta; Magnoliopsida; Ericales; Theaceae.
CAAUUUUGAGAACUCUAGCCCACUUGCUCUGAUCUUUUUUGUUUUCUAAUUUUCUGUUUACUUACAGUAUUUUUCUUUCUUAUUUCUUUCCAGCAAUUUGAGGUGGAAUAAGUUGCAAGAUGUCAUUCCUCCUGAAAUAGGUGAACUAAAGAGUCUAACCCAUCUAUACUUGAGUUUCAAUAAUUUCAAAGGAGAAAUCCCCAAAGAAUUAGCUAAUCUUCCUCUGCUACGUUACCUCUAUCUACAUGAAAAUCGUUUUAUUGGGCGAAUUCCACCAGAAUUGGGCACUCUGCAACAACUCGGACAUUUGUACCUGGAUCAUAAUCAAUUUACUGGGAGAAUCCCGGAUGCAUUCUCUAAGCACACUUUCUUGAAAGAAAUGUAUAUUGAAGGAAAUGCUUUCCGGCCAGGUGUGAACCCUAUUGGCGUCCACAAUGUCCUCGAAGUUUCUGACACAGAGUUCUUGUUUUAGUCAAAGCUUCCACAUAUUAUUUACUCGUAGAAUUGUUUCUUUUUGUUCUUGCUAAAACUAGGGUGUUUCAGUUUGAAUUGGAAUGUAGUUCUAUAAAUAGGAUGUAUAUAAUGUACACUAGUGU